RNAcentral lists this small RNA (287 nucleotides) under Nocardioides luteus. RNAcentral describes it as "5' ureB small RNA". It matches the Rfam family "5' ureB small RNA". Lineage: Bacteria; Bacillati; Actinomycetota; Actinomycetes; Propionibacteriales; Nocardioidaceae. The record is from Rfam by way of RNAcentral.
AUCUGGGAACGGGAGAGGAGAUGUACGUGGACGUCGAUCGCCCCGGCGGUGAGGAUCUUCCCCUCCCCGCUGACCACGUCCGUGCCUGGCCCGAUGAUCAGGUCGGGGUGGACGCCGUCGGCGAUGUCGGGGUUGCCGGAGCGUCCCAGGGCGACGAUCCGGCCGGCGCGGAUCCCCACGUCGGCGCGGACGAUGCCCCAGUGGUCGAGCACCAGGGCGUUGGUGAUCACCGUGUCGAGCGCACCGUCUGCCGAGGAGACGGUGGACUGGUUCAUCGACUCGCGGAU